AGAGGCUCCACCGCCGUUGGAGCGGCGCGAAUCGCCUUGCCCUCGCCGGGGCCGGAAGCGGAGCCGCGCCGGCGCGGGGACAGCCCACCGCCGCGGGGAGGGGUGCAGCCACCGCCCCCCGCCCGAUCCGGCGCCCCCAGAGGCGGGCGGCCAUCGCCCGCCAGCCCGCAGCUUGUCGCGCAGGUCUAGUCCGCCGCCAUGCCGGGGCCUGUACCUGCGCUGGAAGUCCCGCUCGAAGGGGGCCAGGCAACAUCCAGGCUUGUCAUUUUCCAAUUGUCCAUUCAUUCCAUCAGGACAGUAGGCCUUCCCCAAUGAUCAAAUUGUAAUUUGAAGUCUGUAAAGGUGAAGUGUAAGCCUUUUUGGCUGCAGCUGAGAGGUAUGAAUAGCCUUUUUCCUUAUGUCAGUCUUCAGUUAGCAAUCCAGUAGAGGCCUUGUUGGAGAUGCUCUUCCAGUAUAUUGAAUCUUUUCCAGUUUCCUCACUAUAUGUUUGUGCUAAGUUCAGCUGCUUUCUUACUACACUAUUUCUUACCACUGCAUAUAUGCUUUGCUGCUGCAUCUUACCUUGUCAUAUCCCUUUUGCCAUGUUUCCCUAAGAAGAAUGUUUGAGUGUAAAUACUGAUAAAAAUAACAGUGUUACAGCUUCUGAGUCAUCUGCUCACUUUGGUAUUUUUGAUUUUGCUGUUUAUUAUCUAUGAUGGCUGACAUCGCUUCUCCCCUCAUAUAUGCAGCUAGCUCAUUCCAUGUUGUUCUGGUAUCUGCAGGCCCUAAAACUGUCUGCACUCCAGGCCAUCCCUAUAGCUAUUUAAAUACAUCUGUGUAUUUAAACAUUCAAGGCUUGUUAAUUUCUACUGUGCUGCCAUGCACAAAACACUAAACAGAGCCUGACAACUUUUUCUGCUUCUAAUAUGUCUCUGCUUUCUUUUGGCUUAUGACCAUCAUAGUGGUAUAAUCAUUCAAAUUCUGGUCUUCCUUCUUAAAUCCAGACAGUGUUAUGCAUCCACUCAUAAUAAUCAGUUUCUAGAUCUUUUGAAAGAAUCUAGAAAGAAUUUUGAAAGAAUUUGAAAGAGCCCAAAGAUUUAGUCCCUGCUUAAUACCAUUUCCUCACCUCAUCUAUUUCUUCCAAAAAAAAUAAAAAUGGAUAGAUUUCCUAGGAGCAGAGUGGGAAUGUCCAGCAGGGGACUGGGUUUGUUUUUGUCCUACCUAAGAAUCACAGAAUUAUAGAAUCAUUAAGAUUGGAAAAGGAAACUAAGAUCAUCUAGUCCAACAGUCAACCCAACACCACCGUGCCUUCUGAACCAUGUCCUCAGAGCCUUGGUUCCCCUGUCAAUGGUCUUGUCCUUCACUAAUCAGCUAUAAGAGAAACAAAGUCUCUGUUCAGCUGAUUCACAGGAAGGGAGCAGACACAAAGAUCUCUGAUCACCUAGGGCUAUGAUCAGAGGCUUUUAAAGCAAUCUUUGGGCCUCCAUCCAGUGUCCACCUAGUGUCAGUUUGCCAGACUGCCACAUUUUCUUUCUCAGAUUUUCAGCAGCUGGCAUCCACCACAAAGACUGCUGCCUAUCUACAAGAGAUUAGUACACUGUAAAUGAGAAAUGCUUCAAAAAGUCUUCCAUGCCUUUGUCCUCCUCUAUUAAAACUUAGUCUCACAGACCACAUUGAGAUCAUCUACUGUUAUUUUUCUGUUAGUCUUUGUCUGGCUCUUUAACCUUUGCUGUUAAAGCAUUGGUUUAUGCAAAUAGAGAGAUUUCUUCAUUGAUAAGAUUGUUAUCCAAAUUAUUAGUAAUCUUUGUUUUUUCCCUCUUUCCCUGUUUCAGCUGCACAUUUAAAAUACUGAAAUGCUCAUACAGUUCACAAAUUCUCUAUUGCUUCUUGGCCUGUGCAAUCCUUCAGCUGUCUCCUCAGUAACUCUUAUGUUGUCUUCUGUUUCAACACAUGCACAAGAAAAACUCACAAAGGAUUCCAUCCUGGGAGCUGAGUCAUUCUCUAAAUCAAGAACUGUCAUUCUCUGUACAUAAAAUAUUCCUCUGCAGAGCUUAAGGGCAAGUAUUACAUAUAUGAUUUUAUGUUGAUUUUUUUUUUUUUUUUGCUUUUCUUACAUUAAAUUACUUGCUUAUCUGACUCAAAAUACCACAUUAUUUAGCUGUACACGCCAAAAUUUUCUUUGCAUUCAUAUAAUUACAUAAUGUGUUACAUAAUGCCAAAAUGUUAGUCAUUCUUGUGUUCUACUUACUUAUUUGAUAGUCAUUUCAAAAAAUGCACUCACAUUUUCACUGGUUUUGUAUUUACACCUAAUUCCCUUGAACUUUAACUACUUUCCUCCUAUCUGGGAAACCUCCAGUCCUUGAGGAACAUGAUCUGUACAAUCAGAUUGUUAGUCCAGUCACAUCUCUAAAAGACAGUCAUGGUGAAUCGCAAUCUAGCUUUAGUCAUCUGAGAUAGCUAACAUUUAAAAGAGCUGACUAACAGUGACAUGUAUUAGACAUGGAAAAAAACAAGACUGACUAUUUAUUUCUUACCCUUUUCCUAGCACUAUAAAGUACCUUACACAUUCUUUGUGUUUUUAAGUAAACAUUUUAAAUUAAAAAAAAAACUAAAUCUUAUGUCUGUGAUUGCCAAAAAUAAAUGCUUUAGUAGGUUGAAACCACUCUAGCACUAUAAGUUAUUAACAUUAUGCUUUUCCCUGUUUAUGUCCAAAUUGAUGUGUGGGUUACAGCACUGAAUGAGAUUUAUACAAAGAUUUCUGAACACCUCUGUCUUGAGUUUUAUUAUACUGCGUGAAAUAAAACUCUUCAGCUGAUUUCUCCAGCAUAAUUCUUUUCAUGCGUUAAAAAUUGUCAUGUUAGCUCUGUUUUUAUAAAUAAUGCCUUUAUUAAAUUUGUAAUCUUCUAGCCUACUACCUUUUUAUUCCCUUUUCUUUACUUGCUCACAUACUUAUCACUUUUUCUUUCAAUGUGUUUUGUUUUGUCCUUUUAACUCUUUGUUUUACAGUAAGUCUUAUUGCGCUGCUUUCCUUCAGGAAUUUAUAUCUGCAUAGAAGAAAAUUGAGCCUCAUGCCAAUAGAUGAGAUAGACUUUAUGGCUUCUCCAUGAUCACACCACAUAUUGGUAAAAGCAUGGAACUGUGAAAUAUGAGAUGCAAAUGUCAAAAUAUUUCUUUGUUUUUGUAAGGAGUUGCACAAGGAGUCAUUCCUUUUCUGUACAACAAAGUAUGGGUAUUCAUAACUGUAAAAAAAGCCACGCUACCAAGAAUAGAAAAAAUAAAUGCCAUUUGUUGUUUGUUGUUUUGUUUUUCUAAUUUCCUUUCUGUAGAAUGUAGCAUCAAUAUUCUCAAAAAUAAUAAUAAAAAAAACCCUCUAAAAAAACUAUCAUAUUGUCUAUUGUUUUUCUUAAAUCUAUAAAUGUUUUGCAGGUCUUAAGUCAGUUGUCUUGCUCCAGUUUUUGAUCUUUGGAAUAAACUUAUUAUUAGUAGCAUAUUAUUAUAGAUUAACUUAUUUUGGCUUUUAGUAUUUGUCCUGUUGUUCACAUGAUUUCAUUUGUAUGUUGGGAACCAAUUUUUUGUAAACAUCAAGAGUUCUUUCAACACUGACACAAUUGCAAGGAAUUUGAGGUAGGUUCUGUCGUACUUCUAUAAUAAAUUAUUAUAUAACAAGUUGAGUAGCUACAGAAAAAAAGGCCUUUUUAUAAGUUGGAAAAUGGGUACACUGCACAUUUCAGGUUAAUAAAAUUUAUAUGCUGUUUUGAGUGCAAGUUUGCAUAUUAACCAAAAGGGGGUUGAUUAGUUUUUUUCCUUUUAUUCUUUUCAAAAUGUUUUUUUUUUUGUAUAUUAGCAAAUAUCCAUUAGUAAAAAGUAUAAAAUGUUCUCUGAUAACUUUCUAUUAGAAUCAUAGAAUCAUAGAAUGGCCUGGUUGAAAAGGACCACAAUGAUCAUCCAGUUUCAACCCCCAUGCUAUGUGCAGGGUCACCAACCACAACACCAGGCUGCCCAGAGCCACAUCCAGCCUGGCCUUGAAUGCCUCCAGGGCAUGCCUCCACAACCUCCUUGGGCAACCUGUUCCAGUGCGUCACCACCCUCUGUGUGAAAAACUUCCUCCUAAUAUCUAACCUAAACCUCCCUUGUCUCAGUUUAAAACCGUUAUGUUAGAGAAGAUUCAGCAAAGGCUUAAAUUUCUUUUGUCUUACACUGUAAACCUGGAUAGUGAAGAAAAUAAAAUUGUCAAGAAUAUGGUAUCUGCUUGUAAAUAAAAUACUGUCAUUCACAGUUAGACAUAAAUAUGCAGAGGCUAUAGCUGUGAGAGCUAUUUAAAAAUCAGAAGUCAGAAUGCAGUCAUGUUCGGAGGAGUAACACAUAAAAAGUUAUCCCUCAAGAACAUUCCCUUCUAAAGUGUAACCAAAUAAAUAGAAUUAUUUCAUGUAGUGCUGUAUAAUUGAGAUGACUUAGAAUUCCCCCUCUUAUAACACUUUUGAUCUAGCUGUUAGGUGUGACAGGGUAAGGUUAAUUCUCCUUCUCCUAUCACAGGUUAGGAAAGACUUAGUUCUAAGAAUUAAAGGCUCAUUAAAGGAGGAUGGCGAGACUUCUUUUCCAGUGUACACAUUAAUUACCGUAACACUCAGUGAAUUUAUGUUUGCUGACAAAAUGACAUACCUUGUUUACAUAUCAGUGGAAAAAAAAAAAUUGAGUUUCUGGCUGAUUGAAACUGUCACUUUCCUCAAGUAACUACUCUAAUGAAGUAAAACCAAGGAAAACAGAGCAAGAUUUUGUAAAAACAUAUACUUCUUCUAUAAGCAAAACAGCACCUGUUUCUUUUUAGAAAGAAUGUGAAUUGAACACAAGUCUUGAAAAAGUCACUAAACUCGUGAUCUGAUCUACCGUUCUGGACCUUAUAUGACCAUCUACUGAAUUUCUGGCUUUCCACUGAUGACAACAAACACCUUUGUAAGUAAAAUUAACAUAGUGCUCGUACCUUAGAUUUUGAGGUGAGCAAUGCCAGGGACAUCUGCAGCCACAGGACAGGUAAAACACUUCUAUCCUCCUCCAGCAACACAUCAGAAUUCUUGGUAAUUAAGAAAGGCUAGAGAAUACAUAUGUCAGCAGAUCUAUGUGGUUUUGUUUCCACAGGAAUACCUUAUCCUUCAUUUUAUUUUGCCCCUACUAAUUCUUUGCCUCAGCACACAGAAAAAUAACUGCACAACUGCAGUUUCAGAUACAUGUUACAAUCCUGCCUUCUGCUCAGUAUAAAAUAUUUUUACUCACCUCCCAGUGUGCAGUCCAGUGAGAAUAAAAUACAUUGCUAAGAAAUUAUUAAUAUAUGCAACCUUACUUGACUUUCCUUUUAGCUGCUGAAAUAAGAUACUUAAUUUCUUUACAAGUCUGUGUGGAUAGAUGUCUAGAGUUUAUGAACUGUCAAAAGUGUGAUUUAAGGAUAACUAGCAGAGCUGCAAAGCAAACAAGAAGCUGCUCAGCACUGGGUAGUGACAGUGCUUGUUUAAAAUCUGUUUAAGGAUCCACUGUUCCUAUUACGAUGUACAGUGCAUCUGUAGAAUUUUUCUUACAGAACAGGCAUCUCCAGGGCAUUAUUAUCACAAAGUUAUAAAUAAAGUACAGAAAGUUUUCAGUAUAUUUUCAAAACACAUGGUACUAGGAAUAGAUUAAGGAGUUUACUAUUCGUGAUCAAAGACAAUAGCUAAUGCUGCUGUAGUGGUGGUGAACAAAAGCAAAUUUUAAAAUGCUCUAUUAUUUCAUGCUUUAAAAAAAAAAACAAAAACAAACAAAAAAACAACUCAGUAUCAUCUUAGAGGUUAUUUUUUCAAGAACUAAUAAAAAAUACAAUGUAAUUAUUUUAAUACUUAAUUGUCACCCAAUCUGGUAAUGAAGGGAAAUAAAAAGCAUUAAGUCUUUCAGAAACUUUUUCUCCACAUAUUUACUAUCUUUUCUAUAAAUUCAGAAUCUGGUCUGUGCACUAUUUUUGGACUGUAAGCAAUCCACAGAUAAUCUGGUACUAGCAUUCAUGUCUGGAAAUUUAGUAUCUUUUGGCUUGUUUGACUGAACUUGCAUGAUAGUCCUGCUGGAUGUGGGUACUUAACACAUCACUAGUCCUGUUCAAAUAUUAUUCUGCGUGAUUUUUCUCUGACUGUCACUAAAAUUCAUUCUUUCUGUAAGGCUAUGUCGACGGUUUACGGGCUGGUCUGGCCCGGUUCCAUGACUAGUGGGGCGGAGGGAUUUUUUUGCAACAUCCGUGCCUCCGGAAAAGAGAAACAGGGGACCCCCCCCCAAAAAAAAAGAAUAAUUAAAAAAAAAAAAAAAACAGCAGCAACGAUCUGAGGAGAAACAAACUAAUUUACUAAAUACAGUAUUGGAAUGCACGAUAACACACUAUAAUACAAUAUAAUUCAAUGUAAUUGUUAAUAAAAUCAAACAUAAUUGAGAGAAGGAUUGUCCAAGAGCUAAAGGCCUUACACUAAUACUGAAGCCUUGUGUGCAGUCUGGAGCAGCAGCGAGACAAUCCGCAAGCGAGCAUGAGACGAGAAGAAAGGGAAGAGGACUCACUCAGGUCAGGUGACCUACAGGCCUUAUAUCUGUUCCCCUGAGCAGGAAUGGUAACUACUCGAACAGUCUUCUGGGGAACGUAGUUCUUCUCUUCUGGACAAGUACCCAGAACUAGAGCAUUUGCUCUCUAACUCCCAGUACACUGCAUGAUGUUAUGAUGUGGAAUACUGAUAACCAAAAAUCAUAAAACCAUGACAGGCUAUGAUCAUGGAAGAAAAAAAAAAUGGAACAGUAGAUGUCUUAGCAUAUUUUUUUUUUUACUGAUUUGACCAAAUAUUCACACAGAAAUAUUUCUAAGCAUUCGCUAACUGGCAGGCUAACAGUGCCUUUAUAUCCACUAAUACCAUCUCAUGGGACAAGAAUCGUUGCCGGACCUCACCUCCUCCCAGACUCUUCAAUGCUCAUUCUUUUUGAGUGACAGGCCUCUGCCCAUGUGUUACCCACAGCAGAACUCCCAAGAAAAUGCUUCUUUAAACCUGGUGGUGAGUCUACAGCAUCUUGUAUUCUGUAUUCCUGCAUCUAAAACUCCUUCUCAGAAGCACAUCCCUUAAAUUGCUAAAUGGCAGUACAUUUGAUUCUUUCUGGUAUGAAUGCCCUACAGCUACCACUUUUUGUCUGAGCUCUGAAGAGGCAUUUCUGUCUCUAUUAGCAUGGCAAGCCAAACUACAAUUUGUCUCUGCAUGAUGCUUCUCUAUGGUACUACACCACUGCACAACGACUCACAAUCUCUCAAAGAACCAUUUUAAAGAAAACUGCAAAACAUUUGUUCACCUGCAUCUCUCCGUAAAGCUUACCCCUGUGAUAAGCAUCAGAAACGUGCCUGCCUCAGGUGUGCCAAGCAAUAGUGCAGUAUCACAGAUCCAGCACUCAGCGGCCAUCUUUGUGUUUUUCACUUCCCUUUGGAGAUGCUGGUCAGUGAUUUCCUUCCCCUCCCAUUCCUUCCCACACUGGGUUUGCCCUGAGUUUUGACUGUAAAUCUUCAAAAUGGAAAAGCAAGGGUAUAACCUGGAGAUAGGCAAAGUGGGGCAUCCCUAAAUUAACAAUUCUAUUUCCCAUUCCAGAACUCUUAGUAUGUUCUUGGAAAUAUCUCUAAUCACAGUCUGGUUCUCUUCUUCCUUCGUUCAUUGAUUAUUUCAAGCAAAUUCAAGAUGAAAAUAUCAGGCAGUUAAACUGAGAUGUAUAUAAUAUCUAUGAAGAAGAUAUCCCCCCAAGUUCUAAUAAAGUCAGAGACACUUUUCCUGCUGGUUAGGUUCCACUCAGUGUAAGCAAGAAUCAGAAUAUGACCCUGUACUACAGUUGUUAGAGAAACCAAGAGCUGUUUAUCUUAACUACUACAUUAACUAAGCAUGAUUAUUUUUAAUUGAAUGAUUGUUGAAAGCAUUACAGGUGGCAUAAAGGAAUUUUUGUAAGCAGGAACAAAGGAAAAGGACCUGAUCCUUUAGCCACCCCAGGGAGACAGCUGAUGGUGUAUUUGCAGUUUGAGGCCUUAGAAGAGUUCUCAGUGAUGUCCUUAGAGCUUAGCUAACAGAUAAGAGUUUCCUAUAGUUCAUUUCCUAAGCUACUUCCUGCUGGUCUACAGUAUUACAUCCAUCCGUCUCAUCCUCCGGGCUUCUUUGUGUUGUUUUUUCACCUGCCAUACCUAAAGGCACACUACCGACCUCAUUUAAUCCUGAAGAGCAAGGAUGCUAAUUGAGUUGAAAAUGGUAAUGAUGCAUCUAAUUUUCUCAUGUCUGUGUGCUCCCCCUCCUUUCAGAACACCUGACAACACCUGCAUCCCAGAACAAGGGCUUCAACAUGUAUUUUCCUGUGUUGCGCCCAGCUACUCCCUUGACCUAUUAUCUGUGGCAAGUUACAGUGAAUCAAACAUGAUUCCCUCCACAUUUCUCUUCAUUCUGUUUCUGAAUAAGAGCUGAUGUAUGCUCAGGACAUUUUUGUAUUUGCUGCCACAGUUAAAGCAUAAUUAGCUACAUGAAAAAGAAGGGGGAUUAACCACCUCCACUUAGCUGAGACAUUGUCACCUUUAUACUUAAGGCUGCUAUUUGGUUUUUCAGGUAUUUCAAUUGCCAGUCAAGGAGCAGUUUAAGUCUGUAAUAUAAUAAUACUUGCAAUUACUAGUAAAUAACAUUUUACAGCGUUAACUAGCCUGUCCUUACAACAUCCUUUCCAGGCAGGCAAAUAAAUGUUAUUAUCCUCAUUUUACAAACACAUUGAUUAAGUGACUUGCCUAAAGGCCACACAUCAAUUUCAAUGUCAGCGCCAAGAUUAGCACAAAGGAACUUCUGCAUUGCAGUCCCAGGAAAAGGGAAAAAAAAAUAUCUGUAAUAUUAAGUGCAUCCUCCCCUAAAACAAGCAAUCACUUUUCAGACGCUCAGUCUAAAUAGUGUUUACCUGCUUUGCAUCCCCUUAAGUCCUGUGCUCCGCCCACCUGUUAAGUGCUGCUUGUUAAUGACUCAAAAUGGUUCCCAGCCUGCCGCUAGUAGGGGAAGCUUUUCCUUCACUUGCUAGUUUCAUCCCAGUCGCUGGCAGGUGCUGUCUCAAGAACCUGCGAAGCUUCCAGGCUUACAGCUGAACCUGUGCUUAGACAAGUGAGGAAGGCUUGUGCUGCUCCUUGAAGGGCAGCCUCAGUAUGAUCACGGAUUUGAAGCAGCAGCAGUUGCAGCAGGAGCACGAUUAGGAAGAAAUUAGAAUGAUCUUCCACCAUUUAAUAGAUCGUUGGCCUCUCCAACCGAGCACAUUUUCAAUUUCUAGGCUGUGUACAGCCAGCACAGUUGUCUUUCCUAUUGCUGCUGUAGCUACUGUUUGGAAAUUGUGGUAGCUGGAAGGCAGUAUUGGAAAUUGAGCCUUCAGCUCUAAAACACAUUAACAUCUCUAGUCCUCAAUCUCUUGAGCUACUAAGUAAAUUGCCCUAUUUCAAAGCACCUGCUUUUAUAUUUGGAAGGAAUUUUGGUUUUGAUCGUUUGUUUCAGACUGAGGCAUUAUGUCUCUGUUCCUUUCCUGACUGAUGAGCAAUGCAGACCUUACUGCAUACGUGUAUUUUAUGACGUGUGGAAGUAUAGCAAGUAACACUGUAGUACACAAAAAUCUAUUAAACACUGUAGAAUUUCCAACGUUAAAACCCUGCUAUGUUUGCAGGCAGUUAUUGCUUAGGGAAGGGAAAAAAAAAAAACAAAACAAAAAAACCAGCAGCAAUUGCUUGCUCCCCACCCCCCACCAUAACAUAUGUUUCCUACCUGUAAAGACAAAACAGAGAAAGUCACUCCAGCACUUUCAGCAGCUAAUUAAGGCCAUUCAUGUGUUAAGGGUGGCAAUGUUUUCUCCUGACUUAGGCACUGUUUACAAGAUCUUCAUGACUCAACUUCUAAAUGUGACAGAAAACCAAAAUAAUUGUGAAUCUUUUGAACUUCGGUAGCAUUGUUUGUCAGUGGUUUCACAGAUCUGUCAUUAAAGCCUACGGCAUCAUUUGCAAAUCCCUUAAUUUGACCUAGUCAUUGAAACUGAUACUGUGCCAAUGUCUGAAAGCAGAUACAUUGAAAAAUUGUCCAGCAUUUAUGAUAGAUACUGGUAUUUCAGACCAGAGUCCCAGGCAAUUAAUUAUAUUUUUAAUAAGCAUACAUAACAAAGUUAAAUUUAGAAGUAGACUUUGAAAUGGUUGCCAAGUUUUUAACUGAAGGUCAUUUGUACUUUUUUAUUUUUAUCCCAGGUGGAGAGAGUAUGCAUGUCUAGAUACUCAAACGAAAUGUGUAGACUUAAGUACAAAAUACCUCAAAUAUUAGCCACAUUAAUUACACGUUUUUUUCUUUCCCUUUGAGAGAUCAUUUCUUGCAUUAAAAGAACAAUGCUCAAUUGAUUGCUUGCAAACCAUCUAUAGAUUGCAGUAUCAGACACAUUCAUCAGGUUUACGCCUGUCAAAUUUUUAUGUUUGUUUUCAAAUUUUUAACAGCAAAAAAUAAAACAUAUUUAUAAAUAAAUGCUUAACUGUGUUUGUGUUUUUGGCAGUGUAUUGGCUUGGCUUCUACGCAUCUCUGUCAUCCUUACUCUUCCAUAUCAAACUGUGUCACUUAAAGAGACACAUUAAACCGUAAUAGAGGGGUACUCUUGCUGGUGAAAGAGCAAAUCGUGGCUUCAUGGCCAUAGAUGUGAUUGAGUUCUGAAGCCUGAUAAAUAUUUUAUCAUGACACAAUUUCAGAUGCUCAAGGGCUUCACAAUUUUAAUUGUGUUUUAAUUAUAGCACCUCCGUUCAAUUAUGUUCUCUGCCUACUUCAGAUAUAAGUACUUCAGUGUUUUAAAUGGUAUUUUGGCAAAACUCACCUGCAAGGCUGCUGCAAUAUUCGGGGUGUGUCCUGUAACCUUCAGCAGUAGUUUUGUAUGUAGUUUUACACACAAAUAUAUAAUCAAGAAUAAAAGAUGAGGAAGUACUACGAAAAGCAUUAAAAUAACAGAAGAUCAUGUGUUAGCAUGAAAAUGGCAUGUUUUUCUUCUAUUUAGCUUUGCAUUCUGCAGUACAAGUAGUACUAGUGUUUUGUGAGGCAUGUUAUGCUGCACAGCAUGAACUUCAUUUGUGAUUCCUUAAGUACUACCAUGAACACGACUAUUGAAGAAAAUAAGUUUUCUUAUAGUUACUUUUGUUCUGUAAUUUGUAUUACUGCACUUCUCUUAAACUCUAUAGCACCUCAUUGCUAAAAUUAAUUAAUUAAUUAAGAAUUAAUUUUGAGUAGGCACUUGGAUUCCAGUCUGCUAAGGGCUUAGAUCCAUGCUUAUCUUCUCAAACUCUUAACACUCUCACUGCUUUUUUUUUUUUUUUUUUUUUUUUUUUGCAUUUAUGUCUAAGAGCUAGCUUAAAACCGUACUACAUCAAUAAGACUUAAACAUUUUAUAAUGUUUUUCGCUCAAUUUUGGUACUCAGAUGUUCACUGACAAUUCAUCUCUUUCAUUCACUUCCAAAAUCUACUCCUGAUUUUAAUCAGUAUAUAACGUCAGUGUGUAAUGGAAUGUUCAGGUGUGCUUUCAAAACAAGUUAAAAUUACCUAGUGAAAGCCUUAUUUACAUUUUCAGAAGCUCUUACAAAUAAAAUUAUUUGUGUUUGUUCAGAAGUGCAAGAACUAUGGGUGAAACUGUCUUUGUUUCUGGUGCAAAAAGUCAGGCUAGAUGAUCAAAACACUCCCUUGUGGCCUUAAAAAUCUCUGAUGUGUUUUAAAGCUUACAAUUGCCACAUCAGAUCAGUGAAAUGUUAUCUUUGUUUCCAAAGAACAAGCCUCUGUGAUCAUUACUGCUCUGUUGGCUGAUCAUUUUAAAUUAACAUAGCACAAAACAAUUCAAAAAAAUCAAUUCAUAUUCUUAUCUCCAGAGUUACAGUUUUAAAUGUGGGAAAAAAAAUGGAGUCAGAAAAUGGGAUUUGCAUGAAUAAAAUGCCUUAUACCUCCCAACCACCUCCUCUAUUAUCUCAUGGUGCUUUUCAAAUAAAUGAUUCCAUGUAACUCAGAACUUCUAAAGGGAUUUGAAGGUUAUUGCAUUCCAUUCACUUCCAAGUAGAUUGGAUACUAAAAAUAAAAAGUAAUGACAGAGCUUACCUUUCCUGACUCUGGAACUGAAAUGGUAAAUAUUUAAUAAGGGAAACUCACUUUCCCAAAGUUUUGUUCAUCUCUGUCUUUCUCGCUAAUAAAAAAGCAAAAUGAGUUUCUAAGCAUAUAGCUAUUCUGAUACUAUACUCAUGGAUGAUCAUCUUUCUAUUGGACAAAUGCAAAAUCCCUGUCCUGCAUAAACGUGAGGAUUUUUUACUGAUGAGAAUAGCUCCAAUAAAGACAAUAAAGACAACUGAAAAUCCCAUGGGCAUAUAAGAUACAAUACCAUAACUAACUUGACCUGUUUUUAUCUACCUUACUAAAUGUCUUGGUAUCACUGAAACAUCUGCAAACGUCUUAUAUAGGUAAUACCAUAUAUUUUAAAAUGUAUGAUAUAUACAUCCGUGAUUAUUUCUAAGUAUGCUUCAAGUACACUUGAAAGUAGUGCACACAGUGGAGCAUUUCUGCUUUAGUCCAGUUUUCAAAUAUAGAAAAAUACAAAGGCAUCUAAGUUCUUCCUUUUCAAGAUCUAAAUAACUGAAUAUAAUUUGUUUCUAAUUUUGAUUGUUAUAAGACAUUUACCUAGAAGAAAACUAUUAUAACAAAUCAUAAUGUUUUGUGUGUUGCUCAAUGAACAAAAGAAUCUUUCUACUAGGGGCCAUCAUCCCAAUGAGACUCUAUAGCUCCUUUCGAAAAUCUCUCCAAUUUGCAUAGCAUUAUUAGCAUAAUGUAUUUGGCUCACAUAAAGAGAUAAAUAUGGGUGUGCCAGGAAGACUUCAUCAAAUAUGAAGUGAGUAUGAACAAAAACACCAAGCUGGAGAUCUCAGCUCCCUCUCAACUCAUCUUCCCAUGCAGGCUCUCACUCAGAUCAUUGAUCUCUCUCUCAGUGCUUUCGAUGACCCCUGAUCUUUCUUUUUUUCUUUUCUUAGCCUUAAAAGUGAAAACAUUGUUUUGAAGAAAAUAGCUGGAAUAGGAAAAGUAUUUUUAUCAAGUUAUCUCUACAUCUCCAAGCAAGUAAUACUGUGCCUCAUUAUGUCUAUGUGCAAAACGAGGAAAAAAAAAAAAAAAAAAAACCAAAAAACACUAGAAUGACUUUUAGGAGACCAAGGAGAAAAUUCAAUCCCUCUUUCCCCCAGUGUUGCUUGAUUUGCCCCAUCUCCUGGACCAACUUUCAAAUAGAGAUGUUCCUAGAACUUAUCCUGGAAUGCAUUGUUCUUAUGAGGGAAGUCUUUAAAAUACAUUCUAAAGAACGCACUGUGUCUUCCGGAAGUCUUCUGGAGAGCAGAUAAACUGAAGACAUCCAUCAGAUGUGAAACACAAAUAGUUACACUCCAACUUCCACAACAGAUUCAAUCUAAAAAAGAGAAGAGAGACUUCCUAAAGUCACAGGAAUCGCAAGGAAAAUGCCUUUAUCAUCACAACAAGGCUCAAAAGUCUAAGCAAGCUAAUCCAAGCCCAAAAUAUGUCGUAAUCUGUGGUAAAUAAUCUUGAAUAAGUACAAGAUAAAGACAGACAUAUUGAAAGCACUGUAUGCAUUUUUGUUACCAAUAGGAAAAGAAUGUAAUUUCAACAUGGGUUACACUUUUACUUCUGAAUGUUAUUCUCCCCCAUAUCGUGAACAAGAAUGGAGAUUAAAAAAUAGAAGUCACUCACAAUAUCAUAAAUAAAGUGUGAUAGUUUGUUAAUUUGUGUGUAGUAUAAGUGAAUGCAUGUAAAAAGAACUAGAGAUUAAAAUUCAUCCUUUUGCAGUGUGAAACUGGUGGCAGACUUUGAAAACAAUUUACUUCAGUAAUAAAUAACAAACCAGACAUUACCAUGGCAACAAUAAUAUUGGAGAUGCAGUACUUUAUGAAAUUGUUGGGUUAAAUGAACUUUUGUAAAACUCACUUGGUUUGAAAGUUUUCUCAUUACUUAAUUUUCUCUAAAAAACUUUAAAACAAGUGAAAAUGUGAAUACAGCUACUUUUUUAUACAGGUAAGGCUACAAGCUUCUUAAGGUGUAUGCCUAUAAAUCCAAAUUCUAACACUCACCUCAUUAUUUGUAUUGAUGAGGCAGAAUUCAGCUGGAUGUGGCAGUAGUCCCAGAGGACUUUAUUUCCAGACCACUGGCUAUAAAAACUAGCAGUACUCACAAAGUAGUGGAAUUUAACCACCCUGAUCUGACACAAAACAUUGGCUCAGGAUGGUCCUUGAUAUACUCCAAACUUGUAAGAGGUCUGAAAUGUACAGCAACAGGAAGACUGAAGGCCAUUCUGACCUAUCACCCUUGGUAAGAGCAGUCCUGUAGUUUCAAAACACUACCACCAUCCUUGCCACUAGAGUUAUAGCCAGAGUAACAUCUUUGACUUGGUCUUCUCUGUGUCUCAGCCUGACUGUUAUUCUUCUGGUUCACAUUUCUAGUUACAUCACUGCAUCUGAGCUGACUCCCUAGAAACUACAGAUAGAUGGAGCUAGAUAGUGUACCUGGGCAUCUCAAUUGGCACUCACUGUCUAAGUUUUAGCAAUGAAGUCUCAUGCCUGUUUUGCAGAAAUGGGCAAACACCAUUUUGACCAUUAUCACUUCACUGGUUUUGUUUUCAAUUUUGUUAAUUUACUGAUUCAUACCUCUUGGGUUACCCAACUUACCUUCCUAUGUCUUAACUGCUCUGUGGAUGUCACUUGCUGUAGCAGCACUGGUCUACAAGCACAUAGAAUUUGCUUGAUUCAGGUACCAUCAUGUAGCCUCUUUCAGUAGAGAAGGGUAUGCUUCUCAAGACAAUGAAUCCAGUAUCAUGGUCCCAGUGUCUUGUUUGCAUACAAACUUAACUAGACUGUGGGCCUAGAUGCAUGAUUGGACUUCAGUGAUUUGUUACCUUAUAUAUAAACUAUAAAAGGAAUUCACAACUUAAAGAAUUUAAUAGAAUGGAUAACAUGCAAUAAACAGCCACUCAUAAAGAAUCAGUGGAUUCUUGAUACUAGGAUUCUAUCUACAUCCAAUCUAAAUUGUCAAGAGAAUUGUAACUGGCAUCUAAAUGACAGAGAUACAGUUCUGAGAAUUAUGAGAGUGAACAAAAUAAAAGGAGAAAAAGCACAGUUUAAAAAAAGAACGUGCAUAAUCCUGGUAACAGAAUUAGGUUUUUGGCGAGAAGUCAGUAGGCUGAAUUUAAAUGUUAAUUUUGAUCUGUAGAGCAGAAUGUGCUUGAUAAUAAAGGUUAGAUUUUAUUUUAUUUUUUUAGUAAGUAUCCUAUCACACAGUGAGAUUUAUAUCCUAAUUAGUUUAUAACCCUGUAGCUAGUCCAUCUUACAAACAAUUAGCUGAGAGAUUUUCUUAGUCUAGUGUUUCAUAUGAGUGCAAUAAUUUCUGUUUUCUUCCUCCUGUCCUCUUCAUUGCUUUCCCCUCUUGUUAAUAGCCUUGGGAAAAAAAAAGAAAAAAGAAAAAAGAAAAAAAACCACAGGGAUCUCCUGGAAAGAGUCCAGCAUAGGGCCACAAAGAUGAUAAAGGCCAUAGAGCACCUCUCUUAUGAGGAAAGGAUGAAUCACCUGGGUCUGUUCAGCUCUGAAAAAAGACUGAGAGGGGAUCUUAUUAAUAUUUAUAAAUAUCUUAAGUGUGGGAGUCAAAGCAACAUGACAAACCAGUUUUCAGCGGUCUGUGACGAGGAGAAAUGGCCAUAAACUGGAGUAUAGGAAGUUCUACACCAAUAUGCAAAGGACUUCUUCACACUAAGGGUGAUGGAGAACUGGAACAGGCUGCCCAGGGAGGUUGUAGAUUCUCCUUCUCUGGAGAUAAUCAAGACCUGCCUGGACGCCUACCUGUAUAGGGGACCUAGUCUGCUGUAGGGGGCCUGCUUUGCAGCAGGAUUGGACUUGAUGAUCUCUGGAGGUCCCUUUCAACUCUUGCAAUUCUGUGAUUCCAUGGAAAGCAAAACCUAAAGGGUAAAAACAACCCAAGCUGUAGAUGAUAUUAAAGAAUACAACUUAUAACAUCGUAGCUUUUUCCUAUGAAACAAGUUAGGACCAUUAUUUCUCAGAUUACAACAUCUCUGAUUGAUGUAUGUAUAAGAACAUUUUGUGCAGAUAACAGUAUAAAGUUUAUACAGCUAAUAGUGGAAAAAUCGGAUUCAAUACUUUGUGUCUGAGACGUGAAGAAUAGCUUCAUAUUCUUUAAGUUCCAUUCUUUGAGCUAAAUUAAUCACUUCUACUGUUCUGUCAUCAAUUGUCCACUGAUAUUUGAAAAUCACAGAGCCUACAUUUUAAAGCUAUUGUACUGUACAUGUUGUACAACAGCUGUUAGACAUCAUUUAAAGAGGAAAACAUUUCUGCAAACACAUAUAAGACAUCAGGAAAUAAACUUACAGAAGCAAUUCCUUUAGGCUAAAACCUGACAUAAGGAAAUAAACUAAUGCACACUAAAAUAGAUUUAAUAAGCAUUUCAAUCGGAACAUAUAUAGCCUUCUUUCUUAAGAUGAGAGCAAGAAUACUGAUCUUGGUAGAAUAAGCCAAGUAAGAAGACAAAUGCUUUGACCAUAGCAGAUUCAAAUGAGGAUAUACAGUAUAUUGGUUGCGUGCCAAUUGCUGAUGUUCUAAACAAAGUCUAAGUACAAAGCAUUCAUAACCUUUCACAGUCAAGUUAGCAAUUUAAUUUGUGUUCAAAACUGACUUUGGCAUCAUCAGGAAUACACACUCACAAAUCAAGUGUUUUAAAAAUGGAUUGUUCUGAUAAAGAGAAAAAAAAUGAGUUUAUAAAAGGGAAUUAACAAAAUCAUGAAAGUAUAUUUAAAACUACUGAUAAUUAUUUAAAUACAUUUCAGGGCAGAGAUAACAGCAAAACUUGGCCAUGCUUGCUGAUUCAAGGAAUAAAAUGAAGUACAUUUUCUGUAAUUACAUUUUCUUAGAAUCAUAGAAUCGUUAAGGUUGGAAAAGACCCACAGGUUCAUCCAGUCCAACCAUUCGCCCUUCACCAAUGGUUCUCGCUAAACCAUGUCCCUCAACACAACAUCCAAACGCUCUUUGAACACCACCAGGCUCGGUGACUCCACCACCUCCCUGGGCAGCCCAUUCCAGUGCCUGACCACCCUUUCAGAGAAGUAGUUCUUCCUAACGUCCAGCCUGAAUCUUCCCUGGCGCAGCUUGAAGCCAUUCCCUCUAGUCCUAUCACUAGUCACACGAGAGAAGAGGCUGACCCCCAGCUCACUACAACCUCCCUUCAGGUAGUUACAGAGAGCAAUAAGGUCUCCCCUGAGCCUCCUCUUCUCUGGACUGAACAAUCCCA
This 17345-nucleotide long non-coding RNA is filed under the name Gallus gallus (chicken). Lineage: Eukaryota; Metazoa; Chordata; Aves; Galliformes; Phasianidae. The record is from RNAcentral.